Molecule: ribosomal RNA, 497 nt
Filed under: uncultured bacterium
Lineage: Bacteria
Description: partial 16S ribosomal RNA
Rfam family: Bacterial small subunit ribosomal RNA
Source: RNAcentral
GAUGAACGCUGGCGGCGUGCCUAAUACAUGCAAGUCGAGCGAACAGACGAGGAGCUUGCUCCUCUGACGUUAGCGGCGGACGGGUGAGUAACACGUGGAUAACCUACCUAUAAGACUGGGAUAACUUCGGGAAACCGGAGCUAAUACCGGAUAAUAUAUUGAACCGCAUGGUUCAAUAGUGAAAGACGGUUUUGCUGUCACUUAUAGAUGGAUCCGCGCCGCAUUAGCUAGUUGGUAAGGUAACGGCUUACCAAGGCAACGAUGCAUAGCCGACCUGAGAGGGGGAGCGGCCACCCUGGAACUGCGACACGGGCCAGACUCCUACGGGAGGCAGCAGUAGGGAAUCGGCCGCAAUGGGCGAAAGCCUGACGGAGCAACGCCGCGUGAGUGAUGAAGGGCUUCGGAUCGUAAAACUCUGUUAUUAGGGAAGAACAUAUGUGUAAGUAACUGUGCACAUCUUGACGGUACCUAAUCAGAAAGCCACGGCUAACUACGUG